Haliotis rubra (blacklip abalone) is the source of this 2013-nucleotide long non-coding RNA. RefSeq lists it as uncharacterized. The transcript has 3 exons. The record is from RefSeq and is a predicted model, not a curated record. NCBI's taxonomy places the organism in Eukaryota, Metazoa, Mollusca, Gastropoda, Lepetellida, Haliotidae.
GUAGACAUAAUCAUGAAGAGUAUUUUGCCAUUGCGGGGAAUAUUGAUGACUUUGUCUUCUUGUUAAUACUCCACGUACACUGACCUAACAAGUGUGGAAUACAAGAUUGUGUUUAAGAAUAAUGCUUUUGAACAUGAUAAAUGAACAUGAUAAAUGAAUUCCGUAACACUUUUAUUUAGAGGGAUGGGGUGUAUGUUGUUUUAAGGUACAAGCAUCCUUGAUCAGCUAUCUUCACUCUAUUUUUUUAGCAAUGGGUUAGCCUAGUGGUUAAAGUGUUGGCUCUCCACACUGAAGACCCGGGUUCGAUUCCCUACAUGGGUACAGUGUGUGAAGCCCAUUUUCUGGUUUCCCCUGCCAUGAUAUGGUUGACUGUGUGUCCCUGCCUCUAUGGUUGACUGUGUGUCCCUGUUUCUAUGGUUGACUGUGUCCCUAGCUCUGUGGUUGAAUGUGUGUUCCUGACUCUAUGGUUGACUGUGUGUCCCUGGCUCUAUGGUUGACUGUGUGUCCCUAGCUCUAUGGUUGACUGUGUGUCCCUAGCUCUGUGGUUGACUGUGUGUCCCUGACUCUAUGGUUGACUGUGUGUCCCGUGCUCUAUGGUUGACUGUGUGUCCCUAACUCUAUGGUUGACUGUGUGUCCCGAGCUCUAUGGUUGACUGUGUGUCCCGAGCUCUAUGGUUGACUGUGUGUCCCUAGCUCUAUGGUUGACUGUGUGUCCCUAGCUCUAUGCUUGACUGUGUGUCCCUGACUCUAUGCUUGACUGUGUGUCCCUAGCUCUAUGCUUGACUGUGUGUCCCUAGCUCUAUGCUUGACUGUGUGUCUAGAGCUCCAUGGUUGACUGUGUGUCCCUAGCUCUAUGCUUGACUGUGUGUCCCUAGCUCUAUGGUUGACUGUGUGUCCCUAGCUCUAUGCUUGACUGUGUGUCCCUAGGUCUAUGCUUGACUGUGUGUCCCUGGCUCUGUGGUUGACUGUGUGUCUGGAGCUCUAUGGUUGACUGUGUGUCCCUAGCUCUAUGCUUGACUGUGUGUCCCUAGGUCUAUGCUUGACUGUGUGUCCCUGGCUCUGUGGUUGACUGUGUCUCCCUGGCUCUAUGCUUGACUGUGUGUCCCCAGCUCUAUGGUUUACUCUGUAUCCCUAGCUCUAUGGCUGAUGUGUGUCCCUAGCUCUAUGGUUGACUGUGUGUCCUUGACUCUAUGGUUGACUGUGUGUCCCUGGCUGCUUGUACUAGUUUGAAGUAUGCUGUUUUAUAGCACUAGCCCAGUGAGAUUGCAUGCCCCUGUUUAACAUGGAUGCCCUAUUCAGCUACAGUAUACUGACAGUAGCCAGUAGUCUCUUGUGUCCCUGAUUAUUGCUGAGCAUGGGGCAGGGCAACAACAUGUACUCUUAAUGUCUUCUGGUAUGAUCAGACGGAGAUUAAACCACCUCCCUUCCUGUCUCUCCAGCUAGAUUCUCUACACGCUAGACAAGGUGAUCUCAUUGCUUUACGUAGCAUAAACUUUGGGUCACUCCUACACUGUGUGUUCAUGGGUGCAGUAAAAAAGGGUACACAAAUAAAUUAAUGCUGUAUUGUGGGUGGAUAAUAUUUGUAGUUUUAUCUUUUAAAAUGUUAAAUGGAUUGUCCUCAUUGUUUAUAUGUGAACUACAUUAUAGAGAUUAGCUGUGAAUCAAAACAUAAGGCAUGUGUUGAUCUUACACUUAUAAAUAUUGUGUUGAUAUUAUGUUUCUUUCAUGUCAUAUCUUUACGUCACACAUAAACUCACACAUUAACAUGGUAAUGAACUAUUUGUUUUUACUUUAAAUAAGAGCAGCAGAUUGUAAUUAUUCAUUGGCAGGUAUCACUGAUAGAAAAACAGUUGAUUUUACUGGUAACUUUCAUUAAUUGAUUGUGAAUAUUGGCAGCUGAAUGGUGUUUGUAUAUACAGCAGCAAAUUUGUUAAUAGGAUAUUUUAUACAAGUUAAGUGUUCUUGCCUUUUUAUUACUUUUAUGCUUUUCUUUCCAAUAAAGUCAGCAAUGCA